GCAGGGCAGAGCAGGAGGAGGUUUGCCUCUCCCAUGGGGCUGUGGCACUGCUCUGGGACAGCAGCCAGGCACCAAACUUUGUGUGCUAGGAAGUAAUGCAAGAAGAGGAAUGCUACAAGAACUGAUCUCUGCUUCAACAGCCUGUGAAGAGAAAGUGAGUUCAGACUUAUUCCCUGCAUCCAAUCACAAAGAAGGUCAUCCUUUUGCUAUUCCCACCCAGCACCCAGAUGGCAGGUUGGGCUACAGGUGAUUGUGGAUUCUCUAGAAGAUCAUGUUCCAUGUCUUCCACUGUUUGCCAUGAUGUCUGCUGGGUAACCUGUGGCUCCCCUCCUGACACAGGUGAUCACCAGGAGCUAUAAGAAAUGAGACUGGGAGUAGGGCUUCCCUUGGGGCACUGGGAUUGGUUCUCUCACACCCCACUCGUUAUUUAGCUCAGCUGUGGAGCUCAGCUCUCCCUUCUAACUUGGAAAUAUGAGGGGUAACUGAAUGUGGGGAGGUGAUAUAUGGGCGACAGUGGAGUGAGGAAGGAUGCUGGGUUCCUGUCUGGGCUGAGAGGAUUUGACAAGAAGAUUGUGUGAUGGCUGGAGGGCUGUAUGAACAAGCACAAACCAAUUGGAGGAUGCCUUGUUACCAGGAAACUUCAGUUGUUUAUUUCUUCAGAUCAAUUUGCCCAUCUCCAGCUGUCCCAAAAUGCCUUCAGAAGAAUGGGAACAUUCAUUUUAGCAACAAUAAUACAGCAAAAUUAUAAAAUCUGAGACUGGUUACUAAUUAUCCUUGUCUGGAAUAGAAGAAAUUAUAGAAGCCAUUGAAACACAGAGGACAAGGAAAUAAAUGUGGAUGUCUCCCAUUUUAAAAUGCUGAAGAAAAAGUAUGUAAUUCAAAAGAUGAGGCUUCUAUUUGCAGAUUUAGAAAAAUGGAAAACCUAAAUAUUUCAGAUAAGACUAAGAAACCUAGGCAUGAUGUUGAUAGAACUUGGGGUAAUUAAAACCAACCACAAUGAAAAGAAACUUGGAGAACCUUAAAAGCAAAACAGCCGUAGAAUGAUGGAAUAUCUCGAGUUGGAAGGGACCCAUAAGAAUCUCCAAAUCCAGCUCCCAACAACACCACCUACAAUUCAGACCUUACGACUGAGAAUGUUAUCCAGGCACACCCCUGAAUUGGGCAGUUCAGUGCUAUGGCCA
Molecule: non-coding RNA, 1181 nt
Organism: Coturnix japonica (Japanese quail)
Lineage: Eukaryota; Metazoa; Chordata; Aves; Galliformes; Phasianidae
Source: RefSeq, a predicted model, not a curated record